This 447-nucleotide ribosomal RNA is filed under the name uncultured bacterium. Its description in RNAcentral is "SSU rRNA". It matches the Rfam family "Bacterial small subunit ribosomal RNA", at positions 26 to 518 of the family's 1533-position model. The record is from RNAcentral.
AGAACGAACGCUGGCGGCAGGCUUAACACAUGCAAGUCGAACGCGUGUAGCAAUACACGAGUGGCGCACGGGUGAGUAACGCGUGGAUAUCUGCCUUUUGGUUCGGAAUAACCCCGGGAAACUGGGGCUAAUACCGGAUGGUUCCUACGGGAUAAAGAUUUAUCGCCAAAAGAUGAGUCCGCGUACGAUUAGCUAGUUGGUGAGGUAAUGGCUCACCAAGGCGACGAUCGUUAGCUGGUCUGAGAGGACGAUCAGCCACACUGGGACUGAGACACGGCCCAGACUCCUACGGGAGGCAGCAGUGGGGAAUAUUGGACAAUGGGGGCAACCCUGAUCCAGCCAUGCCGCGUGAGUGAUGAAGGCCUUCGGGUUGUAAAGCUCUUUUGGCGGGACGAUGAUGACGGUACCCGCAGAAUAAGCCCCGGCUAACUUCGUGCCAGCAGCCGC